UGGGGAAUAUUGCACAAUGGGGGAAACCCUGAUGCAGCGACGCCGCGUGAACGAAGAAGGUAUUCGUAUCGUAAAGUUCUGUCCUAUGGGAAGAUAAUGACAGUACCAUAGAAGAAAGCUCCGGCUAAAUACGUGCCAGCAGCCGCGGUAAUACUUAUGGAGCGAGCGUUGUCCGGAAUUAUUGGGCGUAAAGGGUACGCAGGCGGUUUAAUAAGUCGAAUGUUAAAGAUCGGGGCUCAACCCCGCAAAGCAUUGGAAACUGAUAAACUUGAGUAGUGGAGAGGAAAGUGGAAUUCCUAGUGUAGUGGUGAAAUACGUAGAUAUUAGGAGGAAUACCAGUAGCGAAGGCGACUUUCUGGACACAAACUGACGCUGAGGUACGAAAGCGUGGGGAGCAAACAGG
RNAcentral lists this ribosomal RNA (403 nucleotides) under bacterium. RNAcentral's name for it is "partial 16S ribosomal RNA". It matches the Rfam family "Bacterial small subunit ribosomal RNA", at positions 355 to 776 of the family's 1533-position model. The record is from RNAcentral.